GCCCUUCUAAGAAAUUCAUCAAACCUUUAACCUUGUACACACCACAUUAAACAUGUCGAAGAUAAUUAACGAUAAAUACUUGUAAAUUAACAAACAUCAUUUUAUUACAUAGAACUGAAAAUAUUAGUACAUAGAUCACAAUCCAACAUUCGACCUCUCUAAACGGCUCUCUAGUUGAAGAUUAGACACAGACACCAUUUGAUACAACUAAAAGACGCAUUACAGCAAAUUAAACACAACAGUUGAAUCUGUCCCGAUUACUAUGGCGACGGAUUUCAACCUACAGUACUGUAGUAUUAAUAUCGGACCUCAGCGACGAUGGUCGCGAAAAUAGGCAGCAGGGUUAUCCUCAAAGUCUUUUCUACGAAUAUAUGUAUCUUUUUUUCCUGGUGCUUUCAUCAUCUUCUCCGGUGGUGGCUUUGCCGCCGGGCUGGCUAGAUUCCAUAAGCCACGCGCCAACGCCACCACUCCGGCGGCUGCUGCCACCGCAGCCAUAGUAGAUAUUCCUUUANCCCACUAUGCUCAUGAUUGACCUCACCAUUUCUUAAAGUCUGGGGACAUUCCGUUAGGCCGAACCGGUUCUCU
This 585-nucleotide long non-coding RNA is filed under the name Olea europaea subsp. europaea. The record is from RNAcentral. Lineage: Eukaryota; Viridiplantae; Streptophyta; Magnoliopsida; Lamiales; Oleaceae.